GAUGAACGCUGGCGGCGUGCCUAAUACAUGCAAGUCGAGCGAACGGACGAGAAGCUUGCUUCUCUGAUGUUAGCGGCGGACGGGUGAGUAACACGUGGAUAACCUACCUAUAAGACUGGGAUAACUUCGGGAAACCGGAGCUAAUACCGGAUGAUAUUUUGAACCGCAUGGUUCAAAAGUGAAAGACGGUCUUGCUGUCACUUAUAGAUGGAUCCGCGCUGCACUAGCUAGUUGGUAAGGUAACGGCUUACCAAGGCAACGAUGCAUAGCCGACCUGAGAGGGUGAUCGGCCACACUGGAACUGAGACACGGUCCAGACUCCUACGGGAGGCAGCAGUAGGGAAUCUUCCGCAAUGGGCGAAAGCCUGACGGAGCAACGCCGCGUGAGUGAUGAAGGUCUUCGGAUCGUAAAACUCUGUUAUUAGGGAAGAACAUAUGUGUAAGUAACUGUGCACAUCUUGACGGUACCUAAUCAGAAAGCCACGGCUAACUACGU
Molecule: ribosomal RNA, 496 nt
Filed under: uncultured bacterium
Lineage: Bacteria
Description: partial 16S ribosomal RNA
Rfam family: Bacterial small subunit ribosomal RNA
Source: RNAcentral